RNAcentral lists this long non-coding RNA (2047 nucleotides) under Betta splendens (Siamese fighting fish). RNAcentral describes it as "lncRNA (ENSBSLG00000024136.1)". The record is from RNAcentral. Lineage: Eukaryota; Metazoa; Chordata; Actinopteri; Anabantiformes; Osphronemidae.
GGAAACUGGUGGAUGCUGAGCGAUGACGAGCCCCGGAUUCCACGUGAAACUCACGCCGCGCCAGGAAGCGCAGGAUGCGGAUCAAAUUCAGCCAAAAGUGGCGAUUAUCAGCGGAAGCGGACGCCGGGCGGGAAGCCGUCGGUGCGUGAGCGCGUGCGGCGGCGGCGGAGCGGCGGCAGAACAGAAAAUCACUCCCGUUGGACGAACGGACGGCUCUUCGGACGGGACGACGCAGGCAAAGUGUCCCACAUGCGCCGCCAGCAGCGUGGAAGUUGGUGCGCCGCGUGGACCGGAAGCUAAACACGGCGCACUUCCGCCUGUUGAGUUUAAUGUCGUCAUCGGUCCAGACAGAGAAGCGGAUUCUCUCUGUCCGUUGCUUCAUCCCUGAACUGAGCCGCUGCCUCCUGCUGUGAUAAUGUCGUAGUGGUAUAAAUACAAAUAUCUAUGAGUAAAUAUCAAACUCAUUUACACAGUUACAAAGCAAAACAUGAAACUAAUGAAAACAAGUAAACAUGAAUGAAAGACAGAAAUUAACAAGAAGUGAAUUGAGGAAGUUGCAUUUUUCUUAAACAGGAAGAAGAAAUUCAUCAUCUGUAGGAAGCAGCAGGUCAGAGACUCGAUGGCUGAACUCUCAUGGAUUCAUGUGAUUUUACUUAUGAUCCUGAAGCUUCAGUUGAAAGCAACAUCUGGACAACAAUACUCCUACACCACUGUCACAACUGGAGCUGAUGUCACUUUGCCGUGUCAAGUUGUAAAAAUCCGCAGGAUGAUUGUGGGAAAAUUAACUGGAUCGUUAACGUACAGUGGAAAACAGCUUAAAGCUGGUUACGUCUGGAAAAAUAGACACAAAUAAAUUAGACCGACUAAGAUUAACAAAGACCUGUUCUUUGGUCAUAAAGAACGUCACCUUGAACGAUGUUGGUGUCUACACCUGCACACAAGAAGGUCAAAGGUCGUAUGGACUGGCUUAUUUGUCUGUUGUUACCAUGACUGAACAAACAACCGGUGAUCAAGUGACAGUCACCUGCUCUGUGUGGAGCUUCGGGAGUGAGUGUGAAUACAAAGUGAAGUGGCUGCGUGAGGAUAAAGAUGUGAACCCGGGGAGCAGCUCCAUUAAACGCUGCUCCACCAGCGUCUCCUUCACCAACACGUCCACGUCCACAGUAAACUCACUGACGUGUGAAGUGAUUGACCCUCGUCAGGAAGUUCUGCACUUCCCCUUCAGGCCUCGAGACUCUAACGGAGAAACAGCUUGGUGGCGGUUCAUCGUUGUGGGUUUGGUCACACUGAUUGUAAUAGUCGUCGUCGUCAGAGGACAUAAAACAAUAAAAGCUGAUGCUGAUGAUGGACUUUCUUACGCUUCCGUCGGCUUUAAGAAGCGCGGCGCUAAAGCUCAGGUAACGCUCCUCCACAUUCUGCCCAUCGAUCCAGAGGAAGCCUCCGCUUCACGUGUGCUGCUGGUUCCUUCCAGGUCCAGAGUAGAGAUGAAGGUGAUGAAGAUGAUGGUGAUGAAGCACGGUGAAAGCUGCCUCCUCUGCUGCCGCCAGCCACAAACCGAACAAACCAGCUUAAUGUCUAACAUUUUCUACCCCAAGCCUGUUUUCUGAGAGUUUUCUGAAAAAUGGCAUAGCUUCAUUCAAAUGAAUUUAUCUCUGCAACCACAAAGUCUAUUUGACUGCAAAUAGUGUCAUAAUGUAAGGGACACUUGUGAGAUGUGAUAUGAGGUGUAAAAUUAGUGUAGGUGUUACUGAUGUGAUGUUUAUGAAUAAUAGAAAAGUAAAAUGUUUCAGUUAUAUCUAAAGAGAAAUGCACUGUUAGAAUGAAUAUCUUACUAAAGCAGAGGCAACUGAAACUUCUAACCCAUGAAAUCAUAGCACAAUCGGUGAACAUCAACUCAGCAAAAAGGUGGUUUGCAUACAGUGAAGCAGGACCAAGUUAUAACAAUUUUAAUGCAGUCAAAUGAGCGAAGGAGUUUCCUUGUGUGGAUAUUUUUUGUUUUUCCACUACUAUCCACCUACAACAGCAAUAAAAGUCAUCAAUAUGUCCA